UAGCCUUGACAUUGAAGAAACACACUAGAGAUAGAGUGGUGCCCUUCGGGGAAUCUGAAAACAGGUGCUGCACGGCUGUCGUCAGCUCGUGUCGUGAGAUGUUGGGUUAAGUCCCGCAACGAGCGCAACCCUCGUCCUUAGUUGCCAGCAGGUUAAGCUGGGCACUCUAAGGAGACUGCCUUCGUAAGGAGGAGGAAGGUGAGGACGACGUCAAGUCAUCAUGGCCCUUAUGGCUAGGGCUACACACGUGCUACAAUGGGGCGUACAGAGUGUUGCGAUACCGUGAGGUGGAGCCAAUCACUUAAAGCGUCUCUCAGUUCGGAUUGAAGUCUGCAACUCGACUUCAUGAAGCUGGAAUCACUAGUAAUCGUAGAUCAGCAAUGCUACGGUGAAUACGUUCCCGGGUCU
This 408-nucleotide ribosomal RNA is filed under the name uncultured bacterium. Its description in RNAcentral is "bacterial SSU rRNA". It matches the Rfam family "Bacterial small subunit ribosomal RNA", at positions 976 to 1381 of the family's 1533-position model. The record is from RNAcentral.